GCUGAUGAUUUAGCUUGCUAUUGAUUCUUGUUUAGCUUAGUGGCGGACGGGUGAGUAACGCGUGAGCAACCUGCCUUUCAGAGGGGGAUAACGUUUGGAAACGAACGCUAAUACCGCAUGAUAUGAUCGAACCGCAUGGUUUGAUGAUCAAAGGAGCAAUCCGCUGAAAGAUGGGCUCGCGUCCGAUUAGGUAGUUGGCGGGGUAACGGCCCACCAAGCCGACGAUCGGUAGCCGGACUGAGAGGUUGAACGGCCACAUUGGGACUGAGACACGGCCCAGACUCCUACGGGAGGCAGCAGUGAGGGAUAUUGGUCAAUGGGGGAAACCCUGAACCAGCAACGCCGCGUGAGGGAAGACGGUUUUCGGAUUGUAAACCUCUGUCCUCUGUGAAGAUAAUGACGGUAGCAGAGGAGGAGGCUCCGGCUAACUACGUGCCAGCAGCCGCGGUAAUACGUAGGGAGCAAGCGUUGUCCGGAUUUACUGGGUGUAAAGGGUGCGUAGGCGGGCUUGCAAGUCAGAAGUGAAAUCUAUGGGCUUAACCCAUAAACUGCUUUUGAAACUGUAAGUCUUGAGUGAAGUAGAGGUAGGCGGAAUUCCCGGUGUAGCGGUGAAAUGCGUAGAGAUCGGGAGGAACACCAGUGGCGAAGGCGGCCUACUGGGCUUUAACUGACGCUGAGGCACGAAAGCGUGGGUAGCAAACAGGAUUAGAUACCCUGGUAGUCCACGCUGUAAACGAUGAUUACUAGGUGUGGGUGGACUGACCCCAUCCGUGCCGG
Molecule: ribosomal RNA, 777 nt
Filed under: uncultured bacterium
Lineage: Bacteria
Description: bacterial SSU rRNA
Rfam family: Bacterial small subunit ribosomal RNA
Source: RNAcentral